AGAGAAAGAAAUUCGAUUCCGUAAGUAGCGGCGAGCGAACGCGGAUUAGCCCAAACCAAUAAAGUUUUCUUUAUUGGGGUUGAGGACAUACCACAUAUAAGAGGUCAUUAUAGACGAAGAAGUUUGGAAAAACUCAUCAUAGAAGGUAAUAAUCCUGUAGUCAAAAUAAUAAUUCUUUAGGUAUGAUCCAGAGUACCACGGGACACGUGAAACCCUGUGGGAAGCAGGAGGGACCACCCUCCAAGGCUAAAUACUACCUAGUGACCGAUAG
This 271-nucleotide ribosomal RNA is filed under the name Clostridioides difficile. RNAcentral describes it as "partial 23S ribosomal RNA". It matches the Rfam family "Bacterial large subunit ribosomal RNA", at positions 216 to 490 of the family's 2925-position model. Lineage: Bacteria; Bacillati; Bacillota; Clostridia; Peptostreptococcales; Peptostreptococcaceae. The record is from RNAcentral.